AACGCACAUUGCGCCCUCUGGUAUUCCGGGGGGCAUGCCUGUUCGAGCGUCAUUACAACCCUCAAGCUCUGCUUGGUGUUGGGCACCACCGGCUUGGUGUGCCUCAAAAUCAGUGGCGGCGCCACCUGGCUUCAAGCGUAGUAACACUUCUCGCUUCUGGAGACCUGGUGUGUGCCCGCCAGCAACCCCCUCUCUUUUAAAGGUUGACCUCGGAUCAGGUAGGGAUACCCGCUGAACUUAA
RNAcentral lists this unclassified non-coding RNA (241 nucleotides) under uncultured fungus. RNAcentral describes it as "sequence contains ITS2". The stretch from base 1 to 52 matches the Rfam family "5.8S ribosomal RNA", at positions 103 to 154 of the family's 154-position model. The record is from RNAcentral. Lineage: Eukaryota; Fungi.